UGAUGAAAUGAUCUAUGAACGGUGGAUCACUCGGCUCGU
RNAcentral lists this ribosomal RNA (39 nucleotides) under Nicrophorus sayi. RNAcentral's name for it is "partial 5.8S ribosomal RNA". Lineage: Eukaryota; Metazoa; Arthropoda; Insecta; Coleoptera; Silphidae. The record is from RNAcentral.